AACGAACGCUGGCGGCGUGCUUAAUACAUGCAAGUCGUGCGAGAACGGGUCCUUCGGGACCGUUAGUAAAGCGGCGAACGGGUGCGUAACACGUGGGCAACCUGCCUAUCAGUUUGGGAUAAGCUCUCGAAAGGGGGGUCGUAAUACCGAAUGAUACCCAGAAGAGACAUCUCUUUUGGUUCAAAGACGGUGAAAGCCGUCACUGAUAGAUGGGCCCGCCGCCCCACUUAGCUAGUUGGUAGGGUAACGGCCUACCAAGGCUCCGAUGGGUAGCCGACCUGAGAGGGUGACCGGCCACACUGGGACUGAGAUACGGCCCAGACUCCUACGGGAGGCAGC
RNAcentral lists this ribosomal RNA (339 nucleotides) under uncultured bacterium. Its description in RNAcentral is "bacterial SSU rRNA". It matches the Rfam family "Bacterial small subunit ribosomal RNA", at positions 29 to 352 of the family's 1533-position model. The record is from RNAcentral.